This is a long non-coding RNA of Humulus lupulus (European hop), 754 nucleotides long. RefSeq lists it as uncharacterized. Lineage: Eukaryota; Viridiplantae; Streptophyta; Magnoliopsida; Rosales; Cannabaceae. The transcript has 2 exons. The record is from RefSeq and is a predicted model, not a curated record.
CAGUCCAAAAUUAAAAAAUCCCUCUCCCUUUUCACUUUCCUUUUCUCCUUCUUUCUUUCUUUUUCACUUCUCAGAUUUUGCUUUCUUUGACUAAAAAUUCACCAAAUCGAAGCCACUGAUUCCGAAUCCCACCAUUUUCCUCUUUUUCAAAGUUGCACGAGCUGGAAGUAACCACUCAGUUUGUGUACUUUGAUAGUAAGGUAAUCAUUAUGGGAUAUGUGUUGCAAAUCAAAAGGGAGUAGUAAUAGGGACCCUAGUAAUAUUGUAUGUCUGGCUUGGUUUUCUUGUUUGUUACACCUUAGCUAAAAGAAGAAACUUCAACCCAGAAAGUUAUCAUAGGAAACUUCAUCAUAAUUUGUUUGGAAUCCAUGUGAAUUUGUUGGGGCCUUCUCUUUCAUAUGGGACAAAUUGUGAUUUUUUUCCCAAUCUCGUAAAAUUUAUAAUUUUUUAAUGGUAGUUUAUAAAACGUCAUUAUUUUAUACAGAUAUAUUUUGUAAAAUAGCUACAAAGUGUUUAGUGUGUUUGACAGAAUGUUGAACGUGUUUAGAAUUAAUUUUGUAAAGAAUUAUAUGAAAUGGAUCAUUACGAGAAAUGAUUAAAAAAUAAAAAUGAUUUGGCUGAAGUAUUGAAAAAGAUUAGGGAACGAGUAUUGAGCGUGUAACAAUGUAUCAAGUAUGGAUGAGUACUUAUAUAUUACAUUCAUCAAAAUUGUAACUUUCUAUUUUAAAAAUAAAGUUAACAUCAUUGUAUAAUA